Molecule: long non-coding RNA, 364 nt
Organism: Macrobrachium nipponense
Lineage: Eukaryota; Metazoa; Arthropoda; Malacostraca; Decapoda; Palaemonidae
Exons: 2
Source: RefSeq, a predicted model, not a curated record
UUAGUAUAUAAGGCUCCGUCUGCUACUGCCACGCAUUCAGAAUACGACUAGGAUUUGGUCAAGAUACGAAAACCUCCUCCUACAACUGUCAACAUGAAGGUGUUCUUCUCCGCGAUGGUCCUCUUGGUGGCCCUGUUGACCAUCUUCGCCUCCACAGAGGCGAUGCCCGAACCCAAAGCUGACCCCUGGGGAGGCCUGGGAUAUGGGUACACCAGCAUCUACAGGCCUUACACUUACUCCUACAGCAUCUACAGACCUCUCAUAAGCUAUGGGUACGGGUGGUGAUCGCUGAAUCCUUUUCUGAAGAUAUGUAAAUGGUUUCCUUCUAAUCUGUACGAAUUCUAAAUACACUGGAAUAAGUAAA